RNAcentral lists this ribosomal RNA (253 nucleotides) under uncultured bacterium. RNAcentral describes it as "partial 16S ribosomal RNA". It matches the Rfam family "Bacterial small subunit ribosomal RNA", at positions 524 to 776 of the family's 1533-position model. The record is from RNAcentral.
UACGUAGGUGGCAAGCGUUGUCCGGAUUUACUGGGCGUAAAGAGCGCGCAGGCGGUCGUUCAAGUCGCGUGUGAAAGCCCCCGGCUCAACUGGGGAGGGUCACGCGAUACUGAUCGACUCGAAGGCAGGAGAGGGAAGUGGAAUUCCCGGUGUAGUGGUGAAAUGCGUAGAUAUCGGGAGGAACACCAGUGGCGAAGGCGGCCAACUGGUCCGGUACUGACGCUGAGGUGCGAAAGCGUGGGGAGCAAACAGG